AACGAACGCUGGCGGCAGGCCUAACACAUGCAAGUCGAGCGAGGACUUCGGUUCUAGCGGCGGACGGGUGAGUAACGCGUGGGAAUGUGCCUUUCUCUACGGAAUAGCCCUGGGAAACUGGGAGUAAUACCGUAUACGCCCUAUUGGGGAAAGAUUUAUCGGAGAAGGAUCAGCCCGCGUUGGAUUAGGUAGUUGGUGGGGUAAUGGCCUACCAAGCCGACGAUCCAUAGCUGGUUUGAGAGGAUGAUCAGCCACACUGGGACUGAGACACGGCCCAGACUCCUACGGGAGGCAGCAGUGGGGAAUCUUAGACAAUGGGGACAACCCUGAUCUAGCCAUGCCGCGUGAGUGAUGAAGGCCUUAGGGUUGUAAAGCUCUUUCAGCUGGGAAGAUAAUGACGGUACCAGCAGAAGAAGCCCCGGCUAACUCCGUG
This 433-nucleotide ribosomal RNA is filed under the name uncultured bacterium. Its description in RNAcentral is "partial 16S ribosomal RNA". It matches the Rfam family "Bacterial small subunit ribosomal RNA", at positions 29 to 507 of the family's 1533-position model. The record is from RNAcentral.